Molecule: non-coding RNA, 21 nt
Filed under: Caenorhabditis elegans
Lineage: Eukaryota; Metazoa; Nematoda; Chromadorea; Rhabditida; Rhabditidae
Source: RNAcentral
UCCGUACAGUUUUCUAACUCA